This 3240-nucleotide long non-coding RNA is filed under the name Mytilus galloprovincialis (Mediterranean mussel). Lineage: Eukaryota; Metazoa; Mollusca; Bivalvia; Mytilida; Mytilidae. The record is from RNAcentral.
GUAAUAUUGGCAAAGAUAAAGACAUGCGCAUAUUUAAAAUUUUAUCACGUUUUAAGAUAUAAAAUUUGUUUAAAUAUAGCAAAUAAUAUAUUGAACUCCACUCGAGAAAGACUGGUAGCUUAUUUAGUUAGGAGUUGUGUACUUCAACUGGGUUUCUUGAACGUUAACAAGAAAAUCAAAAUGUGUUUCAAAGUAACCUGCGAAUCAUGCAACAAGCCAACAUGGGCAGGUAAGCUAUUUACUUUUUCUCAUUUAAAUACAUACCAUUCAUUUGUUUACACCUGUCCGUAGUCACCUGUUGUUCAGUUGUUGUCGUUUGUUGAUAUGAUUCUUGAGUGUUUUUCGUUUCUCGUUUUUGAAUAGAUAAGACCGUUGAUUUUACUGUUUGAAUUGUUUAAACUAGUAAUUUUUAGGCACUUUAUAGCUUGCUGUUCUCCACAACAUUUUCAAAAUUAAUUUUAUGACUUUCUUUCGUAAUUUGACAUUUGCUGUAUUAAAGAGAUUCUUGUGUGUUCCAAUUCAAAAAUUGGGGAUUGAAAAGCCAGAAUUAUUGUCCCAACCACUAGAACUGCUUUCUAGACAUUCUUAUAAACAGUUUCGUCAUUUGCACAUAGUGAACUAAAUGCUUAUAAUUUCCUCUCCUGUAUCAACGAAACGUAUCUACUAUAAAUACGAGUUUGAAUUCCGGUAACAGUAAGGGAAAACGCAUUACCUUCAACUUUGGAAUCCAUGUUUCUAUACAUUUUUAAACUGAGAAGAAGAACGAUUUACAUUUUUGGACGAAAUAGAGUCGAAAUCGCAUGCAACAUUGCAGCUAUGAGAUACAGGGAUUGGAAUACAUGUUGUUUUGCAAUCAAAGUAUUAUUUGUAAUAAUUAAUCAUCAACUUCAUUCCUACCCACAGGAGAAUAAGAACUAAUUUUAAAUAGUAUUGUGUUAUUCUGUUUUGAUGCAACUGUGAUUUUUUUACGAAAGUUGCAUACAAGCUAUGUUUUAUCUGACAUUAAAAUAUGUUAACAGCACCUUUAUGUGCUACAUUUAUUGGUUUUAAAAUUCAUUUUAUUACAUUUCUAUCCGUUGCGCAGAAAUAUACACGUAACAUUUAGUAUCAAAAGAUAUAUGCAAGCGAUUUAAAGAAAAAAAGCAUUUGGAAUUUCCAAAAAUCUAAGUCAUGUCUAUCAAUUGAUCAAUUUACUUGUUUGCAAACUGAAAUUGAGAGUGACAACGGGAGAUGUGUGAAAGUGACAAUUAACCCAAAGAGCAGAAAACAGUCCGAUGCAAACAAUGGAUCUAACUACAGCGAGAAAAUCCAGCACCUGGAGGCCUGCUGCAGUUGGCCCCUAAACAAAAAGGUGUACUAGUUCGGUGAAAAUGAACGUCACACUAAACUCUGUAACAUAUAAAUGAACAACAUACAAGACUAACAAAGGCCAGAGGCUCCUGACUUUGGACAGGCGCAAACAUACAGCGGGGUUAAACAUUUCGAGCGAGACCUAACCCUUCCCUAUACCUCCAACUUAAGUUGAAUAAACAAACACGUAGCAUAACACAUAGUAAAACUAAGUUAAAAAGUCUGAGUCCGAUGUCAGAAUAUAGAUAACAGAAGAAAUUAAGCAAAAUGACAAAGAUACAUAAAUUAACAAAGGACUACUGGCAGUUACUUACGUGCCAGCUCAAGACAUACAUUAAACUGAUUGAAAGGUUAUGUCUACAUAAUAAUAAUAUCAAGUACUAUAACUCCUGUUAGGGAUUUAGUAUCAUAAAUCAUGAAAUAUAUUUGUAUAACAUAACUCGUCUCAUACACGUGGUUAUUUCCGAUGCAAGGACCUAUAAGUGAAUCAAUACUAAUUACAAAUAAUGCAUCUUUAAUGAAUAAAUGCAGUGUUGUAAGUAUAUCCUUCUGAAUAAGUAUGUUCAAAUGGUAAGCAUUCAUUUCAGUUAAAACAAAUGAUUAAAAAAUAACAUUUUACGUUAACGGCAUUAUCACCUUCCUUGUAUCGUAUGCCCCUUAAAAGCGAAUAGGUAUCAUUUUUUUCUUGACGCGUUUCGAUAAGUUACUCUCAGAAAUAGACUAAAAAUUACCAUUAGAAUUACAAAAUAUUUCAUAACAUAAUCGAAGAACUAGUAUGUGACAUAUGAAAACCUGUGUAUAUAUUGAUUGUAUUUUUCAGGAUGUGGAAAUCACAUUGAAAAAUGUUUGAAAGAUAUUCCACCAGAAGAAAGAUGUAAAUGCCCGAAAAAGUCAAAUUAAUGGUGAUUUUUGAUUCAACUUUAACUACGUGUAUAAUUUUCUAAUGACUAAUUGCAAUCUUGAAUCAAAUAAGCAAAAGGAACAGGUCACAUCAAGUAGUUACAAUCAAUAGAAAAAGAUAAAGGCAUGCACUAAAAACAUGAGAUGAAUUUUGCUAUGUUCAAUGGAAUUAAUAGCUUUUACUCUGAAAAAUAACUAGCUUCAUAUACUUUAUUUGUUUUGAUUAAAACAUUUUUUUCAGAUGUAUAAGUAAAGUUCUGAAUAUACAUUGAAUAUUUGCUGGGCAUUUUGAAAUUUCCAUUGAACUAGUCAAAACAAAAAUAUGAGAUGCGGAAUAUACCAUAGGGACAUUCAAACUCUUAAGUGGAAAAUAAACUGACAACGUCAUGGCAAAAAAAGACCAGAAGACAAAUACAACAUAGAAAUAAAAACAGCCGCCAUGUGUUGACGUGAACAUAUUUAACAGUCUGGUUUUAAUUGUGAAUCAUUUAUAUACCUUUUGACAUUGACAAAAAGUCGUUAAAUUAACUUAUCUUAUAUUUUCAGGAAAUAUUUUGCAGAUUUGUGUUGGUAACACGAGUGAACAGAAGUGCCAGAAACCUUUUUUUUUUGUAACUUUUAAUUUUAUUGUUAUGUCUAUUCAUCAUGAGUAUUCAUUAAAAUAUUCAAAUGCAUCGCCUUCUAUUGCAUUAAAUGUGCUUUAGACCCUUACUGUAAAAAACCUUGCUAGUAUGGUCAUAAACUCUUAUAAUUGGUGUUGUAGAUCUUGUAUGUUGCUGUAGCAUUACCUGACAUGUUUCCUUCCUUAAAAGGGAGACGAAAGAUAACAGAGUGACAGUCAAACUCUUAAGUUGAUAUAUGAUAUGUUGUUACAUGUGCAUACUCUCUUACCGUAACAUAACCUGCAGACAGAAUUUUUUUUUUUUUUGUGGUAUAACAGGAAACCUCUGAUCAUAGUAUUCUUAAUGAUAAUGAUAUUUUCAUCUCUAC